Molecule: ribosomal RNA, 433 nt
Filed under: uncultured bacterium
Lineage: Bacteria
Description: partial 16S ribosomal RNA
Rfam family: Bacterial small subunit ribosomal RNA
Source: RNAcentral
AACGAACGCUGGCGGCAUGCCUAACACAUGCAAGUCGAACGAGACCUUCGGGUCUAGUGGCGCACGGGUGCGUAACGCGUUGGAACCUGCCCUUAUGUUCGGAAUAACUCCCCGAAAUGUGUGCUAAUACCGGAUAAUGUCUUCGGACCAAAGAUUUAUCGCCUUUGGAUGGUCCCGCGUUGGAUUAGAUAGUUAGUAGGGUAAAAGCAUACAAAGGAGACGAUACAUAGAUGGUCUGAGAGGAUGAUAAGACACACUGGGACUGAGACACGGCACAGAAUACGACGGGAGGAAGCAGAGGGGAAUAUAGGAAAAUGGGCGAAAGCAUGAAAAGGCAAUGAGGCGUGAGUGAUGAAGGGAUUAGGGAAGUAAAGCUCUUUUAAACGGGAAGAGAAUGACAGUACCGGGAGAAUAAGCACCGGCUAACUACGUG